UACGAAGGGGGGCUAGCGUUGUUCGGAAUUACUGGGCGUAAAGCGCGCGCAGGCGGUCUUCCAAGUCAGUGGUGAAAGCCUGGAGCUCAACUCCAGAACUGCCAUUGAAACUGUUAGACUUGAGUACGAGAGAGGUGAGUGGAAUUCCCCAGUGUAGAGGUGAAAUUCGUAGAUAUUGGGAAGAACACCAGUGGCGAAGGCGGCUCACUGGCUCGUAACUGACGCUCAGGCGCGACAGCGUGGGGAUCAAACAGG
Molecule: ribosomal RNA, 255 nt
Filed under: uncultured bacterium
Lineage: Bacteria
Description: partial 16S ribosomal RNA
Rfam family: Bacterial small subunit ribosomal RNA
Source: RNAcentral